AUAUUAAGGGAGCUACCAUUUGAUUUUUAUGGGGGGGCUAGGAUGAAAUUUGAAAAAAAUAGGCAGGACAGGAGUUUUGAGUAAAAAAAAAAAGGCAGGAUGAGACACUUGCAAAAAAAAAAAGUCUGGACGAUAAUUUAGGUAAAAAAAAAGUCAGGAUAAGGGAGCUACCAUUUGAUUUUUAUGGGGGGGCUAGGAUGAAAUUUGAAAAAAAUAGGCAGGACAGGAGUUUUGAGUAAAAAAAAAAGGCAGGAUGAGACACUUUGCAAAAAAAAAAAGGCAGGAUGACAAUUUAGGUAAAAAAAGUCAGGAUAAACUAAUAAAAAAAAAGGCAGGACCGAAUAGAGUGAAAAAUAAAAAGGCAGGACAGAGAUUACAACUAAAAAAAUGCAGGACAAAAAUUUUCAUCCUAGCCCCCCCAUAAAAAUCAAAUGGUAGCUCCCUAAACUAAAAAAAAAAAGGCAGGACCGAACAGAGUGAAAAAUAAAAAGGCAGGACAGAGAUUACAGCUAAAAAAAAAAUGUAGGACAAAAUUUUUCAUCCUAGCCCCCCCAUAAAAAUCAAAUGGUAGCUC
This 574-nucleotide long non-coding RNA is filed under the name Mytilus galloprovincialis (Mediterranean mussel). Lineage: Eukaryota; Metazoa; Mollusca; Bivalvia; Mytilida; Mytilidae. The record is from RNAcentral.